GAUGAACGCUGGCGGCGUGCUUAAUACAUGCAAGUCGAACGGAGACUUUGUAGCAAUACUCUGUCUUAGUGGCGAACGGGUGAGUAACGCGUUGGUGACCUGCCCCGAAGCGGGGGAUAACAGCUCGAAAGGGCUGCUAAUACCCCAUGUGACCCUGAGGGUUAGAGACCUCAUGAUUAAAGGAGCAAUCCGCUUCGGGAGGGGCCUGCGUCCCAUCAGCUAGUUGGUAGGGUAAUGGCCUACCAAGGCGACGACGGGUAGGGGACCUGAGAGGGUGACCCCCCACACUGGCACUGAAACACGGGCCAGACACCUACGGGUGGCAG
This 326-nucleotide ribosomal RNA is filed under the name uncultured Chloroflexota bacterium. RNAcentral's name for it is "bacterial SSU rRNA". It matches the Rfam family "Bacterial small subunit ribosomal RNA", at positions 28 to 351 of the family's 1533-position model. Lineage: Bacteria; Bacillati; Chloroflexota. The record is from RNAcentral.